Molecule: long non-coding RNA, 1020 nt
Organism: Salmo salar (Atlantic salmon)
Lineage: Eukaryota; Metazoa; Chordata; Actinopteri; Salmoniformes; Salmonidae
Source: RefSeq, a predicted model, not a curated record
GCUCUAGAUGCCUUGUACAAUUAUCUGUGGUUUUGCCUCCCUCUAGUGGGUCAAUGUUGUACUGCAAGGCCAAAUGCCUCAUCACGUGGCUUUAAGACCUAUGGUUUCUAUGGCAGCCGCCAGGUAUGUCCGGAAGAGACACUGCCAUCAUUAUCCCAUGGUGCAGCGUCAAGAAAGUUGAGAAAAAUAGAAAUCCAUGAUGGAGACGUCUUCUCGUGAUCAAGCUGGUGGAGGUCUGCGGAACUGUCCUAGAAGGACCCAGUACAGCAAGGAGAUGCAGGAGAUGCUGAAAUAGGGAUCAGCUUUGCCAUUGACCUGCAACCCCACAUCAUCGGCCUCUCCCUCACUGCCCAAACCCAAAGUCGUAAGAAAAUAGCACAACCCGCACUCCAGCCAAGCCCCUGAGGCGCACCGCUGACAAUUGUAGUUCUGAGGACCACUACACCAGAGAUGGGUUCCACCCCAGUGCCACACGAGAUUUAGAGAAGAAGAGGAGGCACCAGAACAUUCUAGCUACGGGGCAGGAGGAGCCCAGACCCAAUCAUCCCAGGAACAUUUCCCUGGACCAAGGCCCAGAGGAGAGGGACCGCUUCCAGGAGGUUUUGGAUGAGAUUGAGGAGAGGAAGGAGUUUCUGGAAGAGAUGACAGCCCUGGGGAAAGGGAAGCAGUAUCACAACAUCAACACAGAGAUCUCACAGAAAAUCCACGAGCUGGAGGUGAUUGACAAGGCCCGCAGUGCAGAGCUGAGGACCAUUAUGCCAGAGAAGAAGACUGAGUGACAGAGAGGAAUACUCAUCUACUUACUCUGCUGAAUGGAUCUACUAUACUGCUAAUACUCUCCUACAGAGAAUACACUGCACAGGAAUUCUGAACUCAAACUUGGAUACUAGUCUUCAUUUGUGCAUAAUGCUUGUUCAAAUUAUGGCAUGGUAACAAAUGUUGCUGGGAAGACUCCAAUGCAUCCUUAUCAAAGUGUGAAAAAGCAUUGUAGUGUACAUUAAAACAUGACCACACAUCUUU